Molecule: transfer RNA, 85 nt
Filed under: Acidobacteriota bacterium
Lineage: Bacteria; Pseudomonadati; Acidobacteriota
Description: Acidobacteria bacterium tRNA-Val
Rfam family: tRNA
About the family: Transfer RNA (tRNA) molecules are approximately 80 nucleotides in length. Their secondary structure includes four short double-helical elements and three loops (D, anti-codon, and T loops).
Source: RNAcentral
GGUACUUUACCGAGACUCGCGACUGUCCCGCCGGGUCGCCCUUACAAGGCGAAUGUCGGCGGUUCGAGUCCGUCAGCACCCACCA